UACGGAGGAUGCAAGCGUUUAUCCGGAAUUAUUGGGCGUAAAGCGUCCGCAGGUGGUUGGGCAAGUCUGCUGUCAAAGCGCGGAGCUUAACUCCGUACAGGCGGUGGAAACUGCACGACUGGAGUGCGGUAGGGGUAGAGGGAAUUCCCAGUGUAGCGGUGAAAUGCGUAGAUAUUGGGAAGAACACCAGCGGCGAAAGCGCUCUACUGGGCCGCAACUGACACUCAUGGACGAAAGCUAGGGGAGCGAAAGGG
This 254-nucleotide ribosomal RNA is filed under the name uncultured bacterium. RNAcentral describes it as "partial 16S ribosomal RNA". It matches the Rfam family "Bacterial small subunit ribosomal RNA", at positions 524 to 776 of the family's 1533-position model. The record is from RNAcentral.